RNAcentral lists this ribosomal RNA (468 nucleotides) under uncultured bacterium. RNAcentral's name for it is "partial 16S ribosomal RNA". It matches the Rfam family "Bacterial small subunit ribosomal RNA", at positions 28 to 507 of the family's 1533-position model. The record is from RNAcentral.
GACGAACGCUGGCGGCGUGCUUAACACAUGCAAGUCGAACGGAAAGGCCCUGCUUUUGUGGGGUGCUCGAGUGGCGAACGGGUGAGUAACACGUGAGUAACCUGCCCUUGACUUUGGGAUAACUUCAGGAAACUGGGGCUAAUACCGGAUAGGAGCUCCUGCUGCAUGGUGGGGGUUGGAAAGUUUCGGCGGUUGGGGAUGGACUCGCGGCUUAUCAGCUUGUUGGUGGGGUAGUGGCUUACCAAGGCUUUGACGGGUAGCCGGCCUGAGAGGGUGACCGGCCACAUUGGGACUGAGAUGCGGCCCAGACUCCUACGGGAGGCAGCAGUGGGGAAUAUUGCAAAAUGGGCGGAAGCCUGAUGCAGCAACGCCGCGUGCGGGAUGACGGCCUUCGGGUUGUAAACAGCUUUCGCCUGUGACGAAGCGUGAGUGACGGUAAUGGGUAAAGAAGCACCGGCUAACUACGUG